RNAcentral lists this ribosomal RNA (432 nucleotides) under uncultured Nostoc sp. RNAcentral's name for it is "partial 16S ribosomal RNA". It matches the Rfam family "Bacterial large subunit ribosomal RNA", at positions 1199 to 1639 of the family's 2925-position model. The record is from RNAcentral. Lineage: Bacteria; Bacillati; Cyanobacteriota; Cyanophyceae; Nostocales; Nostocaceae.
GCUGUGGGAUUAACUUAUGUUAAUCGGUAGGGGAGCGUUCCGUCGUAGGUAGAAGCAGUAGCGGCAAGCAGCUGUGGACGAAACGGAAGUGAGAAUGUCGGCUUGAGUAGCGCAAACAUUGGUGAGUAUCCAAUGCCCCGAAACCCUAAGGUUUCCUCCGCCAGGUUCGUCCCCGGAGGGUUAGUCAGGAACUAAGGCGAGGCCGAACGGCGUAGUCGAUGGACAACGGGUUAAAAUUCCCGUACUGAUUGUAGGUUGUGCAGAGGGACGGAGAAGAUGAAUGUCAGCCGGAUGUUGGUUACCGGUUCAAGCGUCAAGAUGUUGAGAGACGGCGAAAACGUUUCGAGUUGAGGCGUGAGUACGACCCGCUACGGCGGGGAAGUGGCAUAGUCUAGCUUCCAAGAAAAGCUCUAAACACGUUAACUUACAGUU